GGUAAGUUCUGAGGUUUCACCAAUGAACUACACUCAAGGGAAUUACAGGAAGUUUGAAACCAAAUUAAACUGUUACAAUCUGCAUUCAAAAGCAACCUUUGCAGUCCAGCCUGCUGACAUCCCUGAGCGAUAAGAAGGCCAUAUCCUAAUUCAAAAAUAACAAAGCCUUUGGAGUAGACGACAUCAUCACUGAAAUUUUAAAACUCAGUGAUGAAGAGCCACCGCUGAGGAAACUGGAGCACCUGGAGGAAACUUGCACAGUCACAGAGAAAACACUCAAACUGCAAAGACAGCACUCAAGCAAGGUUGAUGUAAGAGCAGUCCCAAGAGAAGACAGAAGUGGAUGGAUGCAUAAGAAUAAAAGAAAGCAUGAUGAGAAGAAAUGGAUGACAGUUAACAAACUGCACAAAGGAACAUUCAUAGGGUUUUACAGCACGGAAAUAGGCCCUUCAGCCCAACUCAUCAAUGCUGACCAAGAUUCCUAUCUACACUAAUCUCAUUUGCCUGCAUAUGGCUCAUACCCAGCCUGUGAAGGCAAGGAUUCCUAAACCUUCAAAAUCUAAGCAAAUGUAAGGUCAAGAAAUGCUGGGGCUCUGAGGUGAUCUGUGCCUUUACUGCUCUGUUUGAGGACCAUGAAUAGGAGGGUUUCCUCCAAGCCAAACAAGCUCCUUCCCACCUCACCCACGCUCAAGAAGCAGGACUCUCUAAAAACAAAACAGAAUUUUGUAUUUCCCAUCCAAGUAUCUUAUCCCAAUUACUUCCCAAGCAUAAGUAAAAACUGAGGCCAAAGAUUUUAGGGAUGAAUAGGAAUGUGGGAGUGACCAAACUUGUGAGUGAGAGCUGAUUAGUGAUAGCUCACUCAUUUAAGGCUGACUGCAUGUGUUCAAAUGGAGGAUAGUUAAUCAGAUUAAAAAUAGCCACACAUAAAUAUAUCAUUUUAGUAAUAUUUCAUUAUGUCACUCUGUUAAAAAAUUGACUGUUUCAAUAAGGCAUUAAAAUCACUGGAGAUAACGGACAGUAAUUAAUACCUGGAUUGGAAAAAUAAGCCUGCUUAAUUACCAACUCCAGGACUAAGCACCCAUUAAGUCACUUCAACCCAUGACAAAUACUAAUUUCCAUCACCAACAAAGAGACUGCAGCAACAUCUGCAAAUCUUCUUCUCAGAAAUGCUACAUGAUAUAUUGCUGAGUUAAAGGUACUGAUUUUAUUACAGGCUUCAGGGCUUUCAUAUCUCUUUGAUUUCAAAUUAAGACUUUCUAAACUCAAAAAUAGAAUUCUUCUGCUGCAGCUCACAAAAAACCAUAGAGCACAGGAGGUGGUCAUUUGGUCAAUCAAGCUUAAAUGGCCUCUUUUGACUGCCAUCCAGUUAUUUCCACUCUCCUGUCCUUGCUCCAUAUCCCUGUGAAUUUUUUGCCUUCAACUAUUGAUCCAAGUCCUUUUCAAGUCCACUAUUGAAUCUGUAAUCAGCACCCAAUCAGUCAAUGCCUUCCAAAUCCCAGCAACUCAUUGUAUUAAGAAGCUUUUCCUUUUCACUCAUGGUUAUUUUGCCAGUCACUCAAAUUUCUGCCCUCUGAUUAUCAACUCCUCUGUCACUGGAAGUAGUUUCUCUUUGAGGUCUAUUUAAACUUGCUAAGAUUUUAAAUACCUCUAAAUUUCUUUGCAUUCUCUGCUCCAAUCUCAGUGUCACUAGUCCACCCAUCUGUCUGUAAUCCUUUGCACCCAGAACCUUUCCAGCAAAUCUUUUUUGUUCUCACUUCAAAGUCUUCAUGCCAUCCUAAAGUAUGGCAUUAGGAACUAGACUAUACUUCUUCUGGGGAUGAACUGUGUUUUAUGAAGGGCUAGCCUAAUUUCCUGGUGUUUGUAUUCGAUACACCCGUAUGUUCCAACAUGCUUUAUUAAUUGCACUGCUAGCCUGUUCAGCCACCUUCAAAAAUAUGUGCACAAACAAUCCCAAGUCUAUAUCUUCUUGCACAGUCUUUAACAUUGUACAACACAGCUUAUAUACAAUUUGUCUUUCAUUAUUCCGUCAAAAAUGAAUCACCUUACACUUCUUUUCAUUGAAUUUCAUUUGCCAUUAAUGUGCUUCAACAGCCCACUUAUUGAAGGUUAUUAGUAUCUUCCUCAAUCUCUACCACAUUGCCAAGUUUUGAAUUAUCUACAGAUUUUAAAACUGUCCUCGUACCUCCAAAUCCAGACCAUCAAAGUAUAUUAAAAGUAGUAGUAGUUUGAGUAGUAUAGCCUGGGAAGCUCCACUGUAUAUUUCCCUCCAGUCCAUAAAGCAGUCAUACACCAGCUCUGUUUUCUAUGCUAUACCCAAUGUGCAUCCAUACUGCGUCUGUCUUUUUACCACAUGUGGUUCAAUUUUGUUCACACACCUCGUAUGUGGUGUUCUAUCCAGCACACCUAAUGCUAAACACUUCAUCCAUGCCUUCAUUACCUCAACUAUUCAGACCCAUCUCUGGCUUACUUUCUUUGUUUUACUUUCCAUAAACUUGAAAAUUCAAAAUUAUAUGGCCCAUAUCCUAACUUGCAGAGUCUCCUUCCAACAUUACCCCCCUGCUGCACUGGCUCCCAGUUACCCAACGCCAAUAUUUUUAAAAUUCUCAUCGUUUUCAAAUCCUUCUUUGGCCUUACCUCUCCAUGUCUCUAUAAUCUCUCCAAUCUUCCCCACUCCAACAGGCUUCUGGGAUAUCUGUAUUUCUCCAAUUCUGGUCUGUUGAGUACUCCCAUAUUUAACUGGUCUACCUUUGCCCUAAUCUCUGGAAUUCCUUCCCUUUGUCUCUCUAUCUUUUUUUCUUAAUCCAUAAGACUCACCUCUUUAUCACUUGCUCUAAUAUCACUUUAAGUGAUGUCAAUUUUGUCAAUGUUUUGUUUUAAAUUUACCUUCAAGUCCCUUUGUGAGGCAUCUUUGGUGCAUUAAAGGCACUGUACACAUGAAGUUAAUGAUCUUGUAAUUUCAUGAAAAUUCCCUAUAAGCAAACUACACUAGCCUCAUCCACUCUCUUCAUCACAUUCAGCAAGUUAUUCAAACAUGCUCUGCCCAUAACAAAUUAUGGUCUUUAAUAGUGCAGACUUAUCAAAGUGGCAAUUAGUUUUCGCCUGGAUUGUAAUUUCUAAAAGCUUCCCACCACUUAAAUUAGAAUUAUUUGCUGUAGUUAUCCCCCCCACCUCACUUUUGGAGCAAGGAUAGGCAGGUAUGGUAGUGUAGUGGUUAGCAUAAUGCUUUAUAGUGUCAGCGACCCGGGUUCAAUUCCCGUCGCUGUCUGUAAGGAGUUUGUACAUUCUCCCUGUGUCUGUGUGGGUUUCCUCCGGGUGCUCCAGUUUCCUCCCACAUUCCAAAGACGUACGGGUUAGGAAGCGGCAGGCAUGCUAUGUUGGCGCUGGAAGCAUGGUGACACUUGGGGGCUCCCCCCCAGAACACUACACAAAAGAUGCAUUUUACUGUGUGUUUCGAUGUACAUGUGACUAAUAAAGAUAUC
Molecule: long non-coding RNA, 3479 nt
Organism: Pristis pectinata (smalltooth sawfish)
Lineage: Eukaryota; Metazoa; Chordata; Chondrichthyes; Rhinopristiformes; Pristidae
Exons: 7
Source: RefSeq, a predicted model, not a curated record